Molecule: non-coding RNA, 107 nt
Filed under: [Clostridium] symbiosum
Lineage: Bacteria; Bacillati; Bacillota; Clostridia; Lachnospirales; Lachnospiraceae
Also listed under: 1 other name
Description: Clostridium symbiosum TPP sequence
Rfam family: TPP riboswitch aptamer (THI element)
About the family: Vitamin B(1) in its active form thiamin pyrophosphate (TPP) is an essential coenzyme that is synthesised by coupling of pyrimidine and thiazole moieties in bacteria. The previously detected thiamin-regulatory element, thi box was extended, resulting in a new, highly conserved RNA secondary structure, the THI element, which is widely distributed in eubacteria and also occurs in some archaea.
Source: RNAcentral
UCACCAUCAAUAGGGAGCUCGUAGGCGGGCUGAGAGGAAGUAAUCUAACUUCGACCUUUAUAACCUGAUUUGGAUAAUGCCAACGUAGGGAUCAUACAAGACGGAUA